UGUUUUCAUCAAAAACCUUAUUUCUUUUCGACUGAAGAAAGAAAGACAUGAACAUCUUGGAUGACAUGGGGGUGAGUAAAUUAUCAGGAAAAUUUUAUUUGAAAGUGGACUAAUCCUUUAAAGAUGUGCUAACUGAUUUUUAACUGAUAAUAGGGUGGGUAUCAGGGUAAUGGAAGUUAGCCCGGCCACCAUAAGUAAGGUUCACCUUUAUUUUUUUAAUCACAAAAUAUGUUUUUAUUGUUAGUCCAAAAUUCUGCAUCAAUGUUAUUCAUCUCCAGCAAUACCAUGAAAGACGUCCGUUUUUUGGUGUGGUGUGUUGUACAUUUACACGGCAUCAAAGAUUUCCACAAGCGGUGCUACAUGGAUUUACGCAUCACAGUUCUCUAUUGCAUUUGCUCCAUAGCAAUUUAAUUUAAGUUGAAUGAACUGUUUCUUUACCUUUUUGUGAAUUAAUUUUCUAGAUCAGGUUAAGAUUAAUUGAUUCCUCCAGAUGCCCUUUGUUGCUGUGAAUUCUGUAGUCAAAUGCAAGUUAUAAUGUCUGUGGUAUUGCCUAGACAAAUAUAAAGGAAAAUUUAAUCAAUUAAACAUACAUGAUUUUAUAUACAUGUGAAAAAGAUGUACGUACAUGAAGUAUAUGGAUAUAUUUUCCUCUUUUCUCCAGUUUUUCUUUUAAAUGUUUCAUAUCCCUUCAGCGUUCCAGUUUUUCCUUGAAUGUAAACAACACUGAUUUUGUUGUUUAUCUUUUGAAUCAGUUAAAAAAUAAUGCUACAGUAGAAUUUUGCAUUCUGGUGUCACAUUCAUGCAUUUCUAUAAUCAGACCAGACAGUUUUUUGCUUCUAAAACAUCUCCACACCCGUCUGCCCAACACUGACACUGUGCUUAUGUGUAUGUUUCUAAUGCUGCUAUCUCUAAAAGAUGUCACUUGGUAGUAGGUAACUACUCUAGCUGAGCAGACAAUGGACAAGACUACACUCUAAAUGACUUAAAACGGAGCGCUGGAAGACGUUUUGGGAUUUGGUCUUUGUAUUUUGGAAUGUUGAACUUUUUAUUUUGGUAAUUCAAAGAUGAUUUAUUAAAUUUAAUAAAAUAUGGUACCUUGAACUAACAAAAUAAAGAUUUUUCUCAUUCAGUAUUUACUCUUUUUUUCUGAGGCGCAAACGGAAAAAUGCUGAACUGCGCCCUCUAAUGGCUGUUAAGUGCAACGCAGUCAUGAGAAUAGAACACGUUACACUCAGUCAGACGUCGUCAGCAGAUAGAAUUUAAAAAAUAUUAAUGGCACAAUACCGCGAUAAAGUUGCUGAUUAUUCUGGAGAACUGAUUAAUCAAGGGUGUGAACCUUCAACCUGAACCUACAAGUCUAGGUCUACAACUAGGCCACACCACCCAGUAGGUGUUUACUUCCAUUUAUUAUUCCUCAUAAAAGGAAAAACUGCAGUUUAUGGCAAUCAGGAAGCAGCAAUAAUGAUGUCAAUUCAAGGCAUUAUGUGAGUGACAAAACAAAUGACAAGUGGAAAAUGUGUAAAGACCUUCACGUCAUCUAGCAGUGCUUGUGGAUCCUCGAUGCCCUCUGGAACACAUUUCUUCGUCUCCGGAAGGGAUUCCAGCUUCUCCACCAGGGCCUUGAGUCCACUCAACUCAAACUCUGUCAAGUGGGUCCAUUUGCCCGAGUGCUCUGUUCCAGGUGAGCCAGACGGAGUCUUGGGACACUCUGAAGGGAAGGACUUGGAGCUGUCUUCAGAAUCAUUAACUGGGGGUUUCGAGGUCUGAUAGGGAGGGACAGCUGAGGAGGGCUGGGUCACCCCCUCUGUCUUCUCCAACUGCGUCUCACACGAGUUCUCCUCCAUGUCCAGCCGGGGAGCAGAGACAAGACACUCGGGUACAAGCUUGGGUUCAGCUAAUUAGGGUCAGGAGAGAACAUAUGGUAUUUGGAAGAUCUUUCCGAUUCACCAAAAAGUACAUAAAACCAGAAGACAUCAUGAGCAAGUCUAGGAAUCACCUUGAUAAAUGUUGGUAUGAGUGAAAUAAGGAAACAUGAUGAACUUGCAUGUACUCUGAGAUUGAAAAUGCAAAGAAGGGCUCAUUUAAAAGACUGGCUCAUUACUCAUGGAGUUCAGCAAGAGUGAACAAAAUUGAUACUCAUAUCCUCUCCAAUAAAAAUGUAUGGAUUGUUUAUGUCUCUUGAUCAAGUUCUCCAGUUUGGUGUGACUGAACUCCAGGCUGAUGACGUUGAACAGCUUGUCGCGCUCAUCCUCGGGUGUCUCAUAGUAGCGAACAAACUGUGCCAUGCUCAUCUCUGAGCCCUUCUGCGUACUGACGUCCAUCACGUCAACAGCCCGUCUACUGCCUGAAGGUCCAUGCAGAAUUAAAAAAAAAAAUCUUUAUGUUAAAUAAGUGAUUUCAUACUAAAGU
Megalobrama amblycephala (Wuchang bream) is the source of this 2409-nucleotide long non-coding RNA. RefSeq lists it as uncharacterized. The record is from RefSeq and is a predicted model, not a curated record. Lineage: Eukaryota; Metazoa; Chordata; Actinopteri; Cypriniformes; Xenocyprididae. The transcript is spliced from 3 exons.